UCUUUGAAAGGAUGGAAGGGUGGGACCUGGUCAGUGGGGUGAUAUUAAUCAAUAAAUUCACUCUAAACACACGCCUUAGCGUGAGGGUGGUAACGUAGCGUAAUCAUUUGGCCUUUAAUUGGGGUCUAGUAGGAAUGGUGAAACGAUCUUGAAACUGUCUCAGAUGUUAAAGUUUAAAACUUAAAAGUGUGGUUAAGAUUCCUCACAAAGCUUAUAAGACGAGAAGACCCCAUAAACCUUUACUAUAAGAAACUUUUUAACUCUCUAAUUUUGUUAGACCCGUAGUUAAUUGGUUUCCUGGUAGUUUUGCUGGGGCGGCAAUCUUCUAUAAAAACGAAUGAUGACAUAAAAUACAAUCUGCACUAUAAGUCAGUUCAAAAAGAGUUUAACUUAAAUGUUUAACUUCAGUUUCUCUAAAUAAGACCUCUUACCGAACGUUCAAUUAGGUAGACAUUAACUGAUAAAAGGUACUUUGGGGAUAACAGCGUAAUCCAAAGAGAGAGAAGACAUUAUUCUUUGGGUUUGCGACCUCGAUGUUGAAUUAUGA
RNAcentral lists this ribosomal RNA (547 nucleotides) under Sminthea arctica. Its description in RNAcentral is "partial 16S ribosomal RNA". It matches the Rfam family "Bacterial large subunit ribosomal RNA", at positions 1829 to 2542 of the family's 2925-position model. Lineage: Eukaryota; Metazoa; Cnidaria; Hydrozoa; Trachymedusae; Rhopalonematidae. The record is from RNAcentral.